RNAcentral lists this ribosomal RNA (245 nucleotides) under uncultured bacterium. RNAcentral's name for it is "partial small subunit ribosomal RNA". It matches the Rfam family "Bacterial small subunit ribosomal RNA", at positions 26 to 285 of the family's 1533-position model. The record is from RNAcentral.
AGAAUCAAUGCUGGCGGCGUGCCUAACACAUGCAAGUCGCACGAGAAAGUGGAGCAAUCCACGAGUAAAGUGGCGCACGGGUGAGUAACACGUGAAUAAUCUACCUCCGAGUGGGGAAUAACUGAGAGAAAUCUUAGCUAAUACCGCAUAAUACCCACGGGUCAAAGCAGCAAUGCGCUUGGAGAGGAGUUCGCGGCCGAUUAGCUAGUUGGCGGGGUAAUGGCCCACCAAGGCGAUGAUCGGUA